GCGGUAAUACGUAGGUGGCAAGCGUUAUCCGGAAUUAUUGGGCGUAAAGCGCGCGCAGGUGGUUUCUUAAGUCUGAUGUGAAAGCCCACGGCUCAACCGUGGAGGGUCAUUGGAAACUGGGAGACUUGAGUGCAGAAGAGGAAAGUGGAAUUCCAUGUGUAGCGGUGAAAUGCGUAGAGAUAUGGAGGAACACCAGUGGCGAAGGCGACUUUCUGGUCUGUAACUGACACUGAGGCGCGAAAGCGUGGGGAGCAAACAGGAUUA
This 264-nucleotide ribosomal RNA is filed under the name Bacillus gaemokensis. RNAcentral describes it as "partial 16S ribosomal RNA". It matches the Rfam family "Bacterial small subunit ribosomal RNA", at positions 517 to 780 of the family's 1533-position model. RNAcentral also lists the same sequence under 1 other name. Lineage: Bacteria; Bacillati; Bacillota; Bacilli; Caryophanales; Bacillaceae. The record is from RNAcentral.